This 465-nucleotide ribosomal RNA is filed under the name uncultured bacterium. Its description in RNAcentral is "partial 16S ribosomal RNA". It matches the Rfam family "Bacterial small subunit ribosomal RNA", at positions 28 to 506 of the family's 1533-position model. The record is from RNAcentral.
GAUGAACGCUGGCGGCGUGCUUAACACAUGCAAGUCGAACGGAAAGGCUCCUGCUUGCAGGGGUACUCGAGUGGCGAACGGGUGAGUAACACGUGGGUGAUCUGCCCUGCACUUCGGGAUAAGCCUGGGAAACUGGGUCUAAUACCGGAUAGGACGAUGGUUUGGAUGCCAUUGUGGAAAGUUUUUUCGGUGUGGGAUGAGCUCGCGGCCUAUCAGCUUGUUGGUGGGGUAAUGGCCUACCAAGGCGUCGACGGGUAGCCGGCCUGAGAGGGUGUACGGCCACAUUGGGACUGAGAUACGGCCCAGACUCCUACGGGAGGCAACAGUGGGGAAUAUUGCACAAUGGGCGCAAGCCUGAUGCAGCGACGCCGCGUGGGGGAUGACGGCCUUCGGGUUGUAAACUCCUUUCGCUAGGGACGAAGCGCAAGUGACGGUACCUGGAGAAGAAGCACCGGCUAACUACGU